AACUCAUUCAGCCCCAAGUUAAACUUCAUAGUUCCAUUUGAUGCGGCUAAAUCCAAAUAAUAUAGUCCUCUAGCGGACUUUUUAAAUGUUAACACUUUCCCCCUCCCAAAUUGUGUUCUGUAUUCGGUCCGACCAGUUGCGGACACAAUUUGGUUAAAUUGAACAUUUUCAGAUGCCAUUAUAACACUUAACAAAUUUCGUAAAUAAUAGAUUUCUAGUAAAAAGUUAGAAGUACUUGAAAACGAAAAAUACGCACUUUUAUACUAUUUCAUUUUUCUAGAAAAUAUUAUCUAAACCAAUAAUAUUACACUUUGAAGUAUGGGGUGGGACUAAUGGAGAGAUAACCACCCCAUUCUUAGGUUUCACAUAACAACUCUAUGUUGAAUUGUUUAUGUGGUGCGCCAACAAAAAUGCGCUUAACAACAAAACAACGUGUUGGUGAAUCUCUAGAAACUUUACUGUGAUAAUAUGUCAUCUGCUUUGUUUUGGGUUUCUUAACUUAAAAUCUUUAUUUAAAGCAUCUACAUUGUAAAAACAAAAACUAAAACAUUCAAUUUUUUUUUCUGAAAAAAAUAUUUUGAGUAUCACUGUCUCGUACCUAAUAUUUUCUUAUUAUAUGUGCUUCCGUUCCCCUUUUUUCAAGUUAUACUAUUGUUGAAGAUCAUAUAGCAACAUCUCAAUUCUUUCAUAUUUAUUCUUUUUCGUAUUGUACUUUUUUUUUGACACGGUCACGAUCUCCCGCCUUUUUAUUUUUAAUUAGACUGUUAAUUAUGUGCACAUGCGCAGACGAUUCACAGGGAAAAAACUGAAAAAUCAAAAUGGUGAACGUUAAGUGUUUGUUGAUGUUUUGUGUAGUUAUAUGUAUUAAUGGCCAAGUGCAUGAUCUAAACAUUAGAAAAUGCAGAAGCAUAGUAGAUGAGAGCUACGAGGUAGUUGAGCUACAGUGUCUCUAUGAGGGAGAGGGCAGUUACAUUUUCCAUGGGCCGACUUCAGUCAAAAAGAUCACACUGGAUAGAUUGGCGGGUUCCAGCACCUUGAUGACUUUCGGUCUGCACUUGGAGAAAGUUCUGAUUAAAACCUGUACUAUCGACAACUGUUGCUUAGCCAUCUCCACAACCCCAAACAUAGAAGUGCAGAUAGCAGAUAAAGUUUGUUCACUUGAAGACCUUGUACCAACUAUGGAAAUGGGUACCAGUAACCUCUCCUCAUACCGAGGUGGGUUCUCUCGGUUCCGUGCCAGAACAGACUCGUAGUGUUCCAGCAUCCUCAACAUACGAGCACAACCCUCUGUCCAGCACUGUCCCUGGCCAUCAGCAGACUACUACAGAAAAUGAGACAGCAACCAAUACAACACCAUGGAUAGUGGCAACCGUCACCACUUUAACAGAACUAUUUCAAGUCCUCAUCUUUACACUCAUCAGUUUGCUAGUGGUUUUAAACCGAAUACAUAGAUUUUUAAUAAAUGCUGCACCAGCUAUUCGCAACUUCAUCCCCCCUGUAAGACAACUUCUUAACCCUCCUCCACAUCAACCACUACACCAAGCAGCAGUUCAACCCAUACCACCUGCAGUACACCAAGAAAUCAUCCUACCCUUGCCAGCACCACCACGUAUUUAAAGAAGAAGCACCAGACAGUCAAUACCACCCAACAGACUUAAUUUAUAAUUUAUUUAUGUGAUUAAUUUGUGUAUUUUAAGCUUCUCAAUGAUUGAAAUUAGUGUUUGUCAAACUGCUAUAUAACCAGUGUAAUUUUUAUGAUAAAAUGGUUGGUUCAAUUAUUUUGAAAUUUUUAUAUUUUUGUCAAAGGUUCAAAAUAAAUACUUUGUUAAAAUUUUAUGAAAAUUAAACGAGCCAUAUUAAUUUCAGUUAAGGUGUUGGGUACCACCUUAAUUAUAAAACUAUGAAUAAUACCACUGUAAGACUAGCUUUAUGAAUCAUAUUGCUUCAUUAAGUAACUUUAUAUAAAAAAAAUGUUUAAAGUAUUUCUUACCUGUCCUUUAAAAUAUUCAGCACUAUCUGUAGCAUGUCUCUGCUGUACACACUGUUUGCUGUGUUGCACUGUUGCAUGAGUUCUCCUAAAAAGGUCUCACUCAUACUCAUGAGGCACCCUAUUUUAGUUUCCUUGCUUUCAUGAAGCAAACUAUGAUAUAGUCCAGAAAUAUUAAACUGUGUAUUGCUAAAUGUGUUGAUGGGCUGGUAGCAAUACCAAUCCUUCAUUUCCUUAAACAAUUCGGGUUGUAUUGAACACUAAUAACAUGGGAAAAAGUGAAUUCCCACUACUGGUAUAUGUCGAGAUACAAAAUUAGUUAAUUCAUUAAGAAAGUUACUUGUUGAAGCAUGAUCCAUCAUGAAGUUUUCUGGAUAGAAUGAAAGUUUAAUAAUUUUUCAUAAAUAUUAAAGGAUUUAUUCUUCUCUCUUGGUUAUGAUAAGAUUCAUUAAAUAAAGUUGGGUUGAUAAUUUUAAUUCAUUUAGACUUAACUGAGAUGCCAUUUUAGGAUUAAUUUAUAUAUGACUAAGCAUCCAUUGUGGUGACAAAGGAGAUAUUAGCAUGUCUAUGUUGUAUUAUCUUAAGAAGUUUAUUGAGGUUUUUUUUUUUAUUGUUGAAGGUUUAAACAAAGUAGAGUGAUAAUUUUCUAUACAUAAGAAAAACCAACUUCCUGUGUUUGGCAUGAUUAUAAAUUAUGGUUAAAUUAAUACAUUUUUCUUUUAAUAUUUUUUUUAAAAUUUUUUGAUGUUGAAAAUAUUGAAUAAGUCAGAUUUUGAAAUGAUGUUACUUCAAAGGGUGUUGUUAAUAUUAUACAUAUCUAGGAGUUUUGUAUAUGUUUACACAAUUCUGUUUUGUUAUGUUAAUAAGAAGUUUAACUCAAAUUAGAAGUAAUAUAUGUCUAUCAGUCUGAUGUUCUCCAUUAACAGUUAAUCAGUUUUGAAACUUGAUUGCAAUUAAGACGAUUUCUUAUACUCUACAUCUAAAGAUUGUUAUGCAUGUUUAUCUAUCAACGGUUAUUUAGCUUGAGGCUUGAUUGUAAUUAAAAAUAUUUAGUAAUUACACAGUAUAAUAACUUCUAA
This is a long non-coding RNA of Mytilus californianus (California mussel), 3066 nucleotides long. RefSeq lists it as uncharacterized. The transcript is spliced from 4 exons. The record is from RefSeq and is a predicted model, not a curated record. Lineage: Eukaryota; Metazoa; Mollusca; Bivalvia; Mytilida; Mytilidae.